This 463-nucleotide ribosomal RNA is filed under the name uncultured bacterium. RNAcentral's name for it is "partial 16S ribosomal RNA". It matches the Rfam family "Bacterial small subunit ribosomal RNA", at positions 28 to 507 of the family's 1533-position model. The record is from RNAcentral.
GAUGAACGCUGACAGAAUGCUUAACACAUGCAAGUCUUUGGCGAAUCUGUGCUUGCACAGGCUAGCUAAGGCGGACGGGUGAGUAACGCGUAAAGAACUUGCCCUGCAGACAGGGAUAACAGACUGAAACGACUGAUAACACUUGAUACAGUUGCCGGCACGCAUGUUCCUGGCAAUGAAAAGAGAUGCUGCAGGAGAGCUUUGCGUCCUAUUAGCUUGUUGGUGAGGUGACGGCUCACCAAGGCGAUGAUCGGUAGCCGGCCUGAGAGGGUGAACGGCCACAAGGGGACUGAGAUACGGCCCUUACUCCUACGGGAGGCGGCAGUGGGGAAUAUUGGACAGUGGGGGCAACGCUGAUCCAGCAAUUCGGUGUGCACGAAGAAGGUUUUCGGAUUGUAAAGUGCUUUCAGCAGGGAAGAAGAAAGUGACGGUACCUGCAGAAGAAGCGACGGCUAAAUACGUG